CGUGGGCUCAGGUGGUCGACACAUCAAAAUCAAUUCUUGAUCAGCUAGCAUUACAACGCCGGGAAAAGCCGGAAACCAUAUUCGCAGGAUGCCGCAUCUCGAGAAGUCAGUCACCUUCAGGAAGUAGUUAUCUUCCUGAGGAUCGUUGGGAUCUGGCCUGAUCUGGCAGUGAAUGUCGGAGAUCGGCGGCUGAUCCUGCGCCGCUGCACUGAAUGUCAGAGACCUCGUAAUCCUGGGCAACGGUGGCGGCAAUCUGAAACAAUACCACUGUCAUUCAUCUACCCAGUUUUGCUCGAACGAUAUUCAUGACGUUCUGGUAUGUAAUUCGUUUUUAUGUACGGAUUGCUCUUUUUCUAACUGAAAUGUAAUAAUAUAGGCCGUUUAUUAAGAAAGAGUUUGGAUAUCAUUGUAAUAUAAGUUUAUUGUUGGAGAAUGAUAAUUUUUGAAAAGAAAAAAAAUAUCAAUUAAUUUGUAUCUCAAUUAAAAAUGAUCAGUCUCUCAUAAUUGCCUUUACGUGAAUAUUAAAUGGUAUAAUUAUUAUUAAUUUUAUUAAAAAAAUAAUGAUCUAUAUAUAGAUAUAUUUCAGUUCGUAAUGUAACAGAUAAUGACUUUAAAAAAUUAAAAUAUUAAAAUUAGAUUAUAAGAUAAAGAAAU
Long non-coding RNA from Apis mellifera (honey bee), 654 nucleotides. RefSeq lists it as uncharacterized. Lineage: Eukaryota; Metazoa; Arthropoda; Insecta; Hymenoptera; Apidae. The record is from RefSeq and is a predicted model, not a curated record. The transcript is spliced from 3 exons.